This 126-nucleotide small RNA is filed under the name Arabidopsis thaliana (thale cress). RNAcentral's name for it is "ATSL134320". The record is from RNAcentral. Lineage: Eukaryota; Viridiplantae; Streptophyta; Magnoliopsida; Brassicales; Brassicaceae.
UUUCUAUUCAUCUCCGCCGCUCCUCAUCCUGUAAAGCUAAACAAAUAAUCAGAGGAACGAAGGAGACAGCUUCUGCGAAAUCAGCAUGAGAGCCAAGGUUAGUAAUGGGUUUUGAUUGUUUAAUGG